ACUCCUACGGGUGGCUGCAGUGGGGAAUAUUGGACAAUGGGGGCAACCCUGAUCCAGCAAUGCCGCGUGUGUGAAGAAGGCCUUAGGGUUGUAAAGCACUUUCGUUAGUGAAGAAAGGUUUAUGGCUAAUACCUAUGAAUUUGACAUUAGCUAAAGAAGAAGCACCGGCUAACUCCGUGCCAGCAGCCGCGGUAAUACGGAGGGUACAAGCGUUAUUCGGAAUGACUGGGCGUAAAGCGCACGCAGGCGGUUAUUUAAGUCAGAUGUGAAAGCCCCGGGCUUAACCUGGGAAUUGCAUUUGAAACUGGGUAACUAGAGUAUGUCAGAGGAAGGCGGAAUUUCCAGUGUAGCAGUGAAAUGCGUAGAGAUUGGAAGGAACACCGAUGGCGAAGGCAGCCUUCUGGGGCAAUACUGACGCUCAUGUGCGAAAGCGUGGGUAGCAAACAGGAUUAGAUACCCUGGUAGUCCACGCCCUAAACGAUGUCAACUAGGUGUUGGGCACUUAAGUGCUCGGUACCGCAGCUAACGCAUUAAGUUGACCGCCUGGGGAGUACGGCCGCAAGGUUGAAACUCAAAGAAAUUGACGGGGACCCGCACAAGCGGUGGAGCAUGUGGUUUAAUUCGAUGCAACGCGAAGAACCUUACCAGGCCUUGACAUCCAGAGAACUAAGCAGAGAUGCUAUGGUGCCUUCGGGAACUCUGAGACAGGUGCUGCAUGGUUGUCGUCAGCUCGUG
RNAcentral lists this ribosomal RNA (735 nucleotides) under uncultured bacterium. Its description in RNAcentral is "bacterial SSU rRNA". It matches the Rfam family "Bacterial small subunit ribosomal RNA", at positions 335 to 1064 of the family's 1533-position model. The record is from RNAcentral.